RNAcentral lists this unclassified non-coding RNA (278 nucleotides) under Ficus pantoniana. RNAcentral describes it as "partial contains external transcribed spacer and 18S ribosomal RNA". Lineage: Eukaryota; Viridiplantae; Streptophyta; Magnoliopsida; Rosales; Moraceae. The record is from RNAcentral.
AGCAUUCUUUAUCGACUUCGGACCCGCAUCGAUGCCACGGGCCUGGACGGCCUGCACUCGAUGGGGUAGCGAGAGUCAUUCUUAUCGAGGGACUUGAUCGGAGCAACCGGAGGCCGAGACCCCCCCACGUCCGCUUAAUUUUCCACAUCCGGGAGCACGAGCAGUUGUCCUGUGGACCGAGACAGCCACGACGAAAGUCAGAGGAUAUGUCCGGGACACGGGGACUGCUUUCGAGGCCCGCAUUGCAGCCGCAAAGCCACAAGGAGGACAGGUGCGGG